GAAAUGCGAUAAGUAGUGUGAAUUGCAGAAUUCAGCGAAUCAUCGAAUCUUUGAACGCAGAUUGCGCCCUUCGGUUAUUCCUUAGGGCAUGCCUGUUCGAGCGUCAUUUCAACCUUCAAGCCUGGCUUGGUGUUGGGCGCUGUCCCGCCUCCGCGCGCGGACUCGCCCCAAAUGAAUUGGCAGUCGCACCCUCCGAGCCGCGAGCGCAGCACAAGUCGCGCGGGCGGAACUCUGGGGGGACGGACGCUCCACAAGACCCUUUCUCAGUCUUGACCUCGGAUCAGGUAGGGAUACCCGCUGAACUUAAGCA
RNAcentral lists this unclassified non-coding RNA (310 nucleotides) under plant metagenome. RNAcentral's name for it is "partial contains 5.8S ribosomal RNA, internal transcribed spacer 2, and large subunit ribosomal RNA". The stretch from base 1 to 106 matches the Rfam family "5.8S ribosomal RNA", at positions 50 to 154 of the family's 154-position model. The record is from RNAcentral.